GCCAGACUCCUACGGGAGGCAGCAGUGAGGAAUAUUGGUCAAUGGGCGCGAGCCUGAACCAGCCAAGUCGCGUGAAGGAUGACUGCCCUACGGGUUGUAAACUUCUUUUAUAAAGGAAUAAAGUGAGGCACGUGUGCCUUUUUGUAUGUACUUUAUGAAUAAGGAUCGGCUAACUCCGUGCCAGCAGCCGCGGUAAUACGGAGGAUCCGAGCGUUAUCCGGAUUUAUUGGGUUUAAAGGGAGCGUAGAUGGGUUGUUAAGUCAGUUGUGAAAGUUUGCGGCUCAACCGUAAAAUUGCAAUUGAUACUGGCAGUCUUGAGUACAGUUGAGGUAGGCGGAAUUCGUGGUGUAGCGGUGAAAUGCUUAGAUAUCGAGAGGAACACUCGUGGCGAAGGCGGGUUCCUGGACAUUAACUGACGCUGAGGCACGAAGGCCAGGGGAGCGAAAGGGAUUAGAUACCCCAGUAGG
This 467-nucleotide ribosomal RNA is filed under the name uncultured bacterium. Its description in RNAcentral is "bacterial SSU rRNA". It matches the Rfam family "Bacterial small subunit ribosomal RNA", at positions 330 to 794 of the family's 1533-position model. The record is from RNAcentral.